UACAGAGGUCUCAAGCGUUGUUCGGAUUCAUUGGGCGUAAAGGGUGCGUAGGCGGCGCGGUAAGUCAGUGGUGAAAUCUCCGGGCUUAACCCGGAAACUGCCAUUGAUACUAUCUGUCUUGAAUACCGUGGAGGUGAGCGGAAUAUGUCAUGUAGCGGUGAAAUGCUUAGAUAUGACAUAGAACACCAAUUGCGAAGGCAGCUCACUACACGAAUAUUGACACUGAGGCACGAAAGCGUGGGGAUCAAACAGG
This 253-nucleotide ribosomal RNA is filed under the name uncultured bacterium. RNAcentral describes it as "partial 16S ribosomal RNA". It matches the Rfam family "Bacterial small subunit ribosomal RNA", at positions 524 to 776 of the family's 1533-position model. The record is from RNAcentral.